Small nuclear RNA from Schistocerca cancellata (South American locust), 107 nucleotides. The record is from RefSeq and is a predicted model, not a curated record. Lineage: Eukaryota; Metazoa; Arthropoda; Insecta; Orthoptera; Acrididae.
GUACUCGCUUCGGCGGUACAUAUACUAAAAUUGGUACGAUACAGAGAGGAUUAGCAUGGCCCCUGCGCAAGGAUGAGACAAAAAAAUAAAAAAAGAUGGAUAGAGCG